RNAcentral lists this ribosomal RNA (497 nucleotides) under uncultured bacterium. RNAcentral describes it as "partial 16S ribosomal RNA". It matches the Rfam family "Bacterial small subunit ribosomal RNA", at positions 28 to 507 of the family's 1533-position model. The record is from RNAcentral.
GAUGAACGCUGGCGGCGUGCCUAAUACAUGCAAGUCGAGCGAACAGACGAGGAGCUUGCUCCUUUGACGUUAGCGGCGGACGGGUGAGUAACACGUGGGUAACCUACCUAUAAGACUGGGAUAACUUCGGGAAACCGGAGCUAAUACCGGAUAAUAUUUCGAACCGCAUGGUUCGAUAGUGAAAGAUGGCUUUGCUAUCACUUAUAGAUGGACCUGCGCCGUAUUAGCUAGUUGGUAAGGUAACGGCUUACCAAGGCAACGAUACGUAGCCGACCUGAGAGGGUGAUCGGCCACACUGGAACUGAGACACGGUCCAGACUCCUACGGGAGGCAGCAGUAGGGAAUCUUCCGCAAUGGGCGAAAGCCUGACGGAGCAACGCCGCGUGAGUGAUAAAGGUCUUCGGAUCGCAAAACUCUGUUAUUAGGGAAGAACAAACGUGUAAGUAACUGUGCACGUCUUGACGGUACCUAAUCAGAAAGCCACGGCUAACUACGUG